UCUUUGUUUUUCACGAACUCUGUCGUCUUUGUUGCAAGCUCUGAUCUGGUUCCAUCUCGCGCCGUCGGCCGACACUAUCUCUGUCGCGAGAUUCGGUUUCCUUUUCUUGUUCAGUUAUUUUUGUUUUGAUCUCUGGUUGUCAUAGAUAUCUUGUCGAUCUAAAUCGUUUUCUAAAUUAGGGUUCAUUUGCUAAAUAUGAUGACAAAUUGAAUGGAGUAAUGUUGCAGAUUUUUCCAAAUCAAUUGUUAAAUUGUUUGAGUUGGUUUCAUUUUGUUAAAUUGUGUGCGAAGGUGACUG
This 297-nucleotide long non-coding RNA is filed under the name Trifolium pratense (red clover). Its description in RNAcentral is "long non-coding RNA (TPRA_LNC000792)". The record is from RNAcentral. Lineage: Eukaryota; Viridiplantae; Streptophyta; Magnoliopsida; Fabales; Fabaceae.